Molecule: transfer RNA, 76 nt
Filed under: Klebsiella aerogenes
Lineage: Bacteria; Pseudomonadati; Pseudomonadota; Gammaproteobacteria; Enterobacterales; Enterobacteriaceae
Also listed under: 11 other names
Description: tRNA-Val
Rfam family: tRNA
About the family: Transfer RNA (tRNA) molecules are approximately 80 nucleotides in length. Their secondary structure includes four short double-helical elements and three loops (D, anti-codon, and T loops).
Source: RNAcentral
GGGUGAUUAGCUCAGCUGGGAGAGCACCUCCCUUACAAGGAGGGGGUCGGUGGUUCGAUCCCGUCAUCACCCACCA